GUAAAUAUAGUUUAACAAAAACAUUAGAUUGUGAUUCUAAAAACAGAAGUUAAAACCUUCUUAUCUACC
RNAcentral lists this transfer RNA (69 nucleotides) under Betta smaragdina (blue betta). RNAcentral describes it as "tRNA-His". It matches the Rfam family "tRNA". Rfam says of the family: Transfer RNA (tRNA) molecules are approximately 80 nucleotides in length. Their secondary structure includes four short double-helical elements and three loops (D, anti-codon, and T loops). Lineage: Eukaryota; Metazoa; Chordata; Actinopteri; Anabantiformes; Osphronemidae. The record is from RNAcentral.